UGGGGAAUUUUGGACAAUGGGCGAAAGCCUGAUCCAGCAAUGCCGCGUGUGUGAAGAAGGCCUUCGGGUUGUAAAGCACUUUUGUCCGGAAAGAAAUCCUUGGCUCUAAUACAGUCGGGGGAUGACGGUACCGGAAGAAUAAGCACCGGCUAACUACGUGCCAGCAGCCGCGGUAAUACGUAGGGUGCAAGCGUUAAUCGGAAUUACUGGGCGUAAAGCGUGCGCAGGCGGUUUGCUAAGACCGAUGUGAAAUCCCCGGGCUCAACCUGGGAACUGCAUUGGUGACUGGCAGGCUAGAGUAUGGCAGAGGGGGGUAGAAUUCCACGUGUAGCAGUGAAAUGCGUAGAGAUGUGGAGGAAUACCGAUGGCGAAGGCAGCCCCCUGGGCCAAUACUGACGCUCAUGCACGAAAGCGUGGGGAGCAAACAGGAUUAGAUACCCUGGUAGUCCACGCCCUAAACGAUGUCAACUAGUUGUUGGGGAUUCAUUUCCUUAGUAACGUAGCUAACGCGUGAAGUUGACCGCCUGGGGAGUACGGUCGCAAGAUUAAAACUCAAAGGAAUUGACGGGGUCAUAGCUGUUCCCCU
This 586-nucleotide ribosomal RNA is filed under the name uncultured bacterium. Its description in RNAcentral is "partial 16S ribosomal RNA". It matches the Rfam family "Bacterial small subunit ribosomal RNA", at positions 355 to 1363 of the family's 1533-position model. The record is from RNAcentral.